Long non-coding RNA from Octodon degus (degu), 729 nucleotides. RefSeq lists it as uncharacterized. The record is from RefSeq and is a predicted model, not a curated record. Lineage: Eukaryota; Metazoa; Chordata; Mammalia; Rodentia; Octodontidae. The transcript is spliced from 2 exons.
AUUCCUCUUUGUUCUGUUGUUGUGAUAAAUAGCCAACUUGAAAAAGUUGAAGGAAGGAAAGUUUUUGUUUCCUGUAAUGUUCAAAGUGUCGAUGAGGAGACGCUGUACACAGAGGCAACAAGCUUAUUUAUUACACUGGAUCCUAAUAAAAAACUGACUUAGAAGAGCUUCUGGUGAAUUCUACCUCGUGUUUUGAGGCUUUCCCUUCUCCAGAAGAGAGGUGUCCCAAAUCCUGCAUGCUCACACUGACAGUGCUCCGGGGAAGCCUGCUGACACUGACCUUCUGGAACUGCCUUCUGAGCACCUCUCCCGGAGCCCCCUUUCCACCUUCUGACUUUUUUAACAGGAAAUACUCCCCAUGAGAGUAUCAGUGAUUCUCUGUAACUCCUUAGGAUACCUGUGUGGUGCUCCUCAGAUUUGAAUGGGCUCUUUAAAGUUACACAACCAUGACAUCUGCCCCAUCUCAGACUGAAGAAAAAAAUGUGUGUUAAAACUUGCACUGCAAACUUGGAAGUGCUAGAAAACCGAACAAGGAAGAAAUAUGUGGGGUUGUGUGUAGGUGUGCACAUGUGUACAUAUAUACAUACAUUGUAAAUUACAAGGCCAUCUUUGUUGUAUCUGAUCAAACAAAUCUUUUUUGGCCAGAAUGGGAAACACAACUGGUUCCUGUAAGAAUGGACACGUCAGAUCUCUUGCCUAGAGUUUCAGGGAUUAAACUGUACCUUUUUU